GAUGAAGAACGUAGCGAAAUGCGAUAAGUAAUGUGAAUUGCAGAAUUCAGUGAAUCAUCGAAUCUUUGAACGCACAUUGCGCCCGCCAGUAUUCUGGCGGGCAUGCCUGUCCGAGCGUCAUUUCAACCCUCGAACCCCUCCGGGGGGUCGGCGUUGGGGAUCGGCCCUUUACGGGGCCGGCCCCGAAAUACAGUGGCGGUCUCGCCGCAGCCUCUCCUGCGCAGUAGUUUGCACACUCGCAUCGGGAGCGCGGCGCGUCCACAGCCGUUAAACACCCCAAACUUCUGAAAUGUUGACCUCGGAUCAGGUAGGAAUACCCGCUGAACUUAAGCAUAUCGAUAAGCGGAGGA
Molecule: unclassified non-coding RNA, 350 nt
Filed under: soil metagenome
Description: partial contains 5.8S ribosomal RNA, internal transcribed spacer 2, and large subunit ribosomal RNA
Rfam family: 5.8S ribosomal RNA (bases 1-120)
Source: RNAcentral